UACGUAGGGUGCAAGCGUUAUUCGGAAUUACUGGGCGUAAAGCGUGCGCAGGCGGUUUUGCAAGUUUGUCGUGAAAGCCCCGGGCUCAACCUGGGAAUUGCGAUGAAGACUGCAAGGCUUGAAUCUGGCAGAGGGGGGUAGAAUUCCACGUGUAGCAGUGAAAUGCGUAGAGAUGUGGAGGAACACCGAUGGCGAAGGCAGCCCCCUGGGUCAAGAUUGACGCUCAUGCACGAAAGCGUGGGGAGCAAACAGG
This 253-nucleotide ribosomal RNA is filed under the name uncultured bacterium. Its description in RNAcentral is "partial 16S ribosomal RNA". It matches the Rfam family "Bacterial small subunit ribosomal RNA", at positions 524 to 776 of the family's 1533-position model. The record is from RNAcentral.